GCGAGACGGCAGUACGCAUGUAUGACAUUAUAGACGGCAGUACGCACGCGCGAGCCGCGAGACGGCAGUACGCAUGCGCGGUAUUACGGACAGCAGUACGCAUGCGCGAGCUUCGAGACAGUAGAACGCAUGCGCCACGUUCGAGACAGCAGUACGCAUGCGCGACAUUAUGUACAACUGUACGCAUGCGCGAGUUUCGAGACGGCAAUACGCAUGCGCGAGCCCCCGAGAGGGCAGUACGCAUGCGCGAGUUUCGAGACGGUAGUGCGCAUGCGCGACAUUAUGGACGGCAGUACGCAUGCGCGAGCUUCCAGACGGCAUGCGCUACAUUACGGAUAGCAGUACGCAUGUGCGAGUCCCGAGACAGCAAUACGCUUGCGCGACAUUGUGGACGGCAGUACGCAUGCGCGACAUUAUGGACGGCAGUACGCAUGCGCGAGCGUCGAGCCGGCAGUACGCAUGCGCGACAUAACGGUCAGCAGUACGCUUGCGCGAGUUUCCAGAGGGAAUUACGCAUGUGCGGCAUUACGGACAGCAGUACGUAUGCGCGAGCUUCGAGACGGAAGUACGCAUGCGCGAGAUUACGGACGGCAGUACGCAUGCGCGACAUUAUACACAACUGUACGCAUGCGCGACAUUAUAGACGGCAGUACGCAUGCGCGAGCUUCCAGACGGUAGUACGCAUGCGCGACAUUACUGACAGCACUACGCAUGAGCGAGCCCCGAGACGGCAAUACGCAUGCGCGAGCCGCGAGACGGCAGUACGCAUGCGCGAGUUUCGAGACGGCAGCACGCAUGUGCGACAUUAUAGACGGCAGUACGUAUGCGCGAGCGUGGAGACGGUAGUACGCAUGCGCCAAAACAUAGACAGCAGUACGCAUGCGCGAGUUUCGAGACGGCAGUACGCAUGCGCGACAUUAUGGACGGCAGUACGCAUGCGCUUGCUUCCAGACGGCAGUACGCAUGCGCGACAUCACGGACAACAGUACGCAUGCGCGAGCUCCCAGACCGUAGUACGCAUGCGCGACAUUACUGACAGCACUACGCAUGAGCGAGCCCCGAGACGGCAAUACGCAUGCGCGAGCCGCGAGACGGCAGUACGCAUGCGCGAGUUUCGAGACGGCAGCACGCAUGCGCGACAUUAUAGACGGCAGUACGCAUGCGCGAGUCGGGAGACGGCAGUACGCAUGCGCGACAUUACGGACAGCAGUACGCAUGCGCGAGCCAUGAAACGGCAGUACGCAUGCGCGACAUCAUGGGCGGUAGUACGCAUGCGCGAGCUCCGAGAUGGCACUACGCUCGCGCGAGUUUCGAAACGGCAGUACGCACGCGCGAGACGCGAGACGGUAGUGCGCAUGCGCGAGGUUCGAGAGGGCAGUACGCAUGCGCGAGCUUCGAGACGGUGGCAGCAGAUACCGUGGAAACAACAACUCCGCCGCCUUUUAGCGGACUGCCUGGGACCGUGGGCGCGCAUCCCCUUCUCUCUUUCUUUUCUUGGCAGAGGAUGGUGGGGGGAAGAAGGGGAGACGACAAAGAAAAGCAAGGAAAACUUCGACAAACCCUCCAACCCCGUGCUAAAUGCUUUGGUAUACCUGUAAAUAAAUGAAUACAUAACCAGCAA
This is a long non-coding RNA of Gallus gallus (chicken), 1621 nucleotides long. The record is from Ensembl. NCBI's taxonomy places the organism in Eukaryota, Metazoa, Chordata, Aves, Galliformes, Phasianidae.